Molecule: ribosomal RNA, 253 nt
Filed under: uncultured bacterium
Lineage: Bacteria
Description: partial 16S ribosomal RNA
Rfam family: Bacterial small subunit ribosomal RNA
Source: RNAcentral
UACGUAGGCAGCGAGCGUUGUUCGGAAUUACUGGGCGUAAAGAGUGUGUAGGCGGUGUUCCCAGUCUGUUGUGAAAUCUCCCGGCUUAACUGGGAGGGUGCAGCGGAAACUAGAAUGCUAGAGGGUGGGAGAGGUAAGCGGAAUUCCUGGUGUAGCGGUGAAAUGCGUAGAUAUCUGGAGGAAUACCGGUGGCGAAGGCGGCAUCCUGGACCGGCAUUGACGCUGAUGAGCGAAAGCUAGGGGAGCAAACGGG